This 486-nucleotide ribosomal RNA is filed under the name uncultured bacterium. Its description in RNAcentral is "partial 16S ribosomal RNA". It matches the Rfam family "Bacterial small subunit ribosomal RNA", at positions 28 to 507 of the family's 1533-position model. The record is from RNAcentral.
GAUGAACGCUGGCGGCGUGCCUAAUACAUGCAAGUCGAACGCUGGAGAUCUAGCUUGCUAGAUCGAAGGAGUGGCGAACGGGGGAGUAAUACAUAAGCAACCUACCCACGAAGACUGGGAUAAUCUCUGGAAACGGGGACUAAUACCGGAAAGGUAAUCGGAAGGCAUCUUCUGGUUAUUAAAGGUUACAAAUACUGGUGGUUGGGCUUAAGGCGCAUUAGUUAGUUGGUGAGGUAACGGCCCACCAAGACGAAGAAGCGUAGCCGGACGGGGAGGGUGAACGGCCACAUUGGGACUGAGACACGGCCCAGAGUCCUACGGCACGGAGCAGUAGGGAACGGUCGGCAAUAGGGGCAAACCUGACAGAGCAGCGCCACGUGAGAGAAUACGGCGUUCGGGGUGUAAAGCUCUGUUGUAAGGGAAAAAGGGUAGAUAGAGAAGAUCUAAGUGACGGUACCUUAUCAGAAAGCCACGGCUAACUACGUG